UCUUUCCCUAGAAGUGUUUCAGUGUGUGGUGGCUGUGUCACAUGUGCACCAGUAGGUGGCAGAGAGGAGCGAGGCUAUGUCUAUGCUUAGUGUUCUGACCUGUGAACAUCUGAAUGAUUUGUAGCCUAAUAUU
Molecule: small nucleolar RNA, 133 nt
Organism: Arvicanthis niloticus (Nile rat)
Lineage: Eukaryota; Metazoa; Chordata; Mammalia; Rodentia; Muridae
Product: small nucleolar RNA SNORA17
Source: RefSeq, a predicted model, not a curated record